RNAcentral lists this long non-coding RNA (249 nucleotides) under Homo sapiens (human). Its description in RNAcentral is "non-protein coding lnc-GOLGA8F-6:2". The record is from RNAcentral. Lineage: Eukaryota; Metazoa; Chordata; Mammalia; Primates; Hominidae.
UUUGGCUGCCCAGGCUCGCCUCGACUCCAAAUGGUUGAAAACAGAUAUACAGCUUGCAUUCACAAGAGAUGGGCUCUGUGGUCUGUGGAAUGAAAUGGUUAAAGAUGGAGAAAUUGUAUACACUGGAACAGAAUCAACCCAGAACGGAUAGCUCCCUCCUGGAAAAGCUUUUGUGUGGUCCUCUGAGCCCCAGUGAGAGUUUCCUGAGGUACCUCACCCUUCCACAAGACAACAGGCUUGCCAUUGAUC